AUUGAACGCUGGCGGCAGGCCUAACACAUGCAAGUCGAGCGGUAGCACAGAGAGCUUGCUCUCGGGUGACGAGCGGCGGACGGGUGAGUAAUGUCUGGGAAACUGCCUGAUGGAGGGGGAUAACUACUGGAAACGGUAGCUAAUACCGCAUAACGUCGCAAGACCAAAGUGGGGGACCUUCGGGCCUCAUGCCAUCAGAUGUGCCCAGAUGGGAUUAGCUAGUAGGUGGGGUAACGGCUCACCUAGGCGACGAUCCCUAGCUGGUCUGAGAGGAUGACCAGCCACACUGGAACUGAGACACGGUCCAGACUCCUACGGGAGGCAGCAGUGGGGAAUAUUGCACAAUGGGCGCAAGCCUGAUGCAGCCAUGCCGCGUGUGUGAAGAAGGCCUUCGGGUUGUAAAGCACUUUCAGCGGGGAGGAAGGCGAUAAGGUUAAUAACCUUGUCGAUUGACGUUACCCGCAGAAGAAGCACCGGCUAACUCCGUGCCAGCAGCCGCGGUAAUACGGAGGGUGCAAGCGUUAAUCGGAAUUACUGGGCGUAAAGCGCACGCAGGCGGUCUGUCAAGUCGGAUGUGAAAUCCCCGGGCUCAACCUGGGAACUGCAUUCGAAACUGGCAGGCUAGAGUCUUGUAGAGGGGGGUAGAAUUCCAGGUGUAGCGGUGAAAUGCGUAGAGAUCUGGAGGAAUACCGGUGGCGAAGGCGGCCCCCUGGACAAAGACUGACGCUCAGGUGCGAAAGCGUGGGGAGCAAACAGGAUUAGAUACCCUGGUAGUCCACGCCGUAAACGAUGUCGAUUUGGAGGUUGUGCCCUUGAGGCGUGGCUUCCGGAGCUAACGCGUUAAAUCGACCGCCUGGGGAGUACGGCCGCAAGGUUAAAACUCAAAUGAAUUGACGGGGGCCCGCACAAGCGGUGGAGCAUGUGGUUUAAUUCGAUGCAACGCGAAGAACCUUACCUGGUCUUGACAUCCACAGAACUUUCCAGAGAUGGAUUGGUGCCUUCGGGAACUGUGAGACAGGUGCUGCAUGGCUGUCGUCAGCUCGUGUUGUGAAAUGUUGGGUUAAGUCCCGCAACGAGCGCAACCCUUAUCCUUUGUUGCCGGCGGUUCGGCCGGGAACUCAAAGGAGACUGCCAGUGAUAAACUGGAGGAAGGUGGGGAUGACGUCAAGUCAUCAUGGCCCUUACGACCAGGGCUACACACGUGCUACAAUGGCAUAUACAAAGAGAAGCGACCUCGCGAGAGCAAGCGGACCUCAUAAAGUAUGUCGUAGUCCGGAUUGGAGUCUGCAACUCGACUCCAUGAAGUCGGAAUCGCUAGUAAUCGUAGAUCAGAAUGCUACGGUGAAUACGUUCCCGGGCCUUGUACACACCGCCCGUCACACCAUGGGAGUGGGUUGCAAAAGAAGUAGGUAGCUUAACCUUCGGGAGGGCGCUUACCACUUUGUGAUUCAUGACUGGGGUGA
This 1463-nucleotide ribosomal RNA is filed under the name uncultured Klebsiella sp. RNAcentral's name for it is "bacterial SSU rRNA". It matches the Rfam family "Bacterial small subunit ribosomal RNA". Lineage: Bacteria; Pseudomonadati; Pseudomonadota; Gammaproteobacteria; Enterobacterales; Enterobacteriaceae. The record is from RNAcentral.